This 545-nucleotide ribosomal RNA is filed under the name uncultured bacterium. Its description in RNAcentral is "partial 16S ribosomal RNA". It matches the Rfam family "Bacterial small subunit ribosomal RNA", at positions 355 to 880 of the family's 1533-position model. The record is from RNAcentral.
UGGGGAAUAUUGGACAAUGGGGGCAACCCCUGAUCCAGCCAUGCCGCGUGUGUGAAGAAGGCCUUUUGGUUGUAAAGCACUUUAAGCAGGGAGGAGAGGCUAAUGGGUUAAUACCCAUUAGAUUAGACGUUACCUGCAGAAUAAGCACCGGCUAAACUCUGUGCCAGCAGCCGCGGUAAUACAGAGGGUGCGAGCGUUAAAUCGGAAGUUACUGGGCGUAAAGCGAGUGUAGGUGGCUCAUUAAAGUCACAUGUGAAAUCCCCGGGCUUAAACCUGGGAACUGCCAUGUGAUACUGGUGGUGCUAGAAUAUGUGAANAGGGAAGUAGAAUUCCCAGGUGUAGCGGUGAAAUGCGUAGAGAUCUGGAAGGAAUACCGAUGGCGAAGCAGCUUCCUGGCAUAAUAUUGACACUGAGAUUCGAAAGCGUGGGUAGCAAACAGGAUUAGAUACCCUGGUAGUCCACGCCGUAAAACGAUGUCUACUAGCCGUUGGGGUCCUUGAGACUUUAGUGGCGCAGUUAACGCGAUAAGUAGACCGCCUGGGGAG